Molecule: non-coding RNA, 235 nt
Organism: Penaeus vannamei (Pacific white shrimp)
Lineage: Eukaryota; Metazoa; Arthropoda; Malacostraca; Decapoda; Penaeidae
Source: RefSeq, a predicted model, not a curated record
GUGGUGAUAAUGGUGACGACGAUGGUGAUGAUGGUGAUGUGGGUGAUGGCAAAGAAUGCAACCAGUGGAGGCGCUGUAAAAAGGCAGGAGGAGAGUGCCUGAGGACUUGUCGUGAGGGAGACACUCUGCUUGAAGGGAGAUGCAUGAAGGGCUGCUCCUGCUGCGUUCCUGAAGGUGGUGAUAGUGACGAUGGUGGUGAUGGUGACGAUGACGCCGAUGAAGAUGGUGAAGAUGA